GCAGAGAUCGCAUAGCCCGGUAUUGCGGUGGACUUGAAAUCCACUGUCCCUAGGACACGGGGGUUCGAAUCCCUCUCUCUGCGCCA
Molecule: transfer RNA, 86 nt
Filed under: Methanobacteriota archaeon
Lineage: Archaea; Methanobacteriati; Methanobacteriota
Description: Euryarchaeota archaeon tRNA-Ser
Rfam family: tRNA
About the family: Transfer RNA (tRNA) molecules are approximately 80 nucleotides in length. Their secondary structure includes four short double-helical elements and three loops (D, anti-codon, and T loops). Further hydrogen bonds mediate the characteristic L-shaped molecular structure. tRNAs have two regions of fundamental functional importance: the anti-codon, which is responsible for specific mRNA codon recognition, and the 3' end, to which the tRNAs corresponding amino acid is attached (by aminoacyl-tRNA synthetases). tRNAs cope with the degeneracy of the genetic code in two manners: having more than one tRNA (with a specific anti-codon) for a particular amino acid; and 'wobble' base-pairing, i.e. permitting non-standard base-pairing at the 3rd anti-codon position.
Source: RNAcentral